CCCAGAAAGCAAAGGAAGUUACACAUGUUGAUGUGCUAUCGGUAGGAAUAACCAAACAUCCUGAGAGGGAUAGGAAGAAAUAUGCCAAGUAAUUCUUCUUCGCACGUUCUCAAGAAUCGGAUCGACUUGAUGGAGCUUAAUUCACACGUAAGAAGAACAGUAAUUCUGUCAGGCUUACACAAAUCCAACUGUUGCUCAUGUUGACAACUAAUAUGUUUCCAGUCUGUAAGAGAAAAACAAAUGCAGAUAAGAGAACAAAGCAACUGACACUACAAGCCAAGAACGGGAUUUUCGUCUCAUUACCUAAGAGAGAGAGAGAUCAGUUGAAUGUGAAAGUAAUGUUCACAAAGCCAACCAUGUUUGUUCUUAUCUUGAUGGUUUUAGUUCCCGAAGGAGUACUUACAGACUCAAUAGGCAUGCAGGAACCAAUAGCCCCAACCAAUGCC
This is a long non-coding RNA of Rhodamnia argentea, 446 nucleotides long. RefSeq lists it as uncharacterized. The record is from RefSeq and is a predicted model, not a curated record. Lineage: Eukaryota; Viridiplantae; Streptophyta; Magnoliopsida; Myrtales; Myrtaceae. The transcript is spliced from 2 exons.